RNAcentral lists this ribosomal RNA (2933 nucleotides) under Escherichia coli. Its description in RNAcentral is "bacterial LSU rRNA". It matches the Rfam family "Bacterial large subunit ribosomal RNA". Lineage: Bacteria; Pseudomonadati; Pseudomonadota; Gammaproteobacteria; Enterobacterales; Enterobacteriaceae. The record is from RNAcentral.
GGGUUGUGAGGUUAAGCGACUAAGCGUACACGGUGGAUGCCCUGGCAGUCAGAGGCGAUGAAGGACGUGCUAAUCUGCGAUAAGCGUCGGUAAGGUGAUAUGAACCGUUAUAACCGGCGAUUUCCGAAUGGGGAAACCCAGUGUGUUUCGACACACUAUCAUUAACUGAAUCCAUAGGUUAAUGAGGCGAACCGGGGGAACUGAAACAUCUAAGUACCCCGAGGAAAAGAAAUCAACCGAGAUUCCCCCAGUAGCGGCGAGCGAACGGGGAGCAGCCCAGAGCCUGAAUCAGUGUGUGUGUUAGUGGAAGCGUCUGGAAAGGCGCGCGAUACAGGGUGACAGCCCCGUACACAAAAAUGCACAUGCUGUGAGCUCGAUGAGUAGGGCGGGACACGUGGUAUCCUGUCUGAAUAUGGGGGGACCAUCCUCCAAGGCUAAAUACUCCUGACUGACCGAUAGUGAACCAGUACCGUGAGGGAAAGGCGAAAAGAACCCCGGCGAGGGGAGUGAAAAAGAACCUGAAACCGUGUACGUACAAGCAGUGGGAGCACGCUUAGGCGUGUGACUGCGUACCUUUUGUAUAAUGGGUCAGCGACUUAUAUUCUGUAGCAAGGUUAACCGAAUAGGGGAGCCGAAGGGAAACCGAGUCUUAACUGGGCGUUAAGUUGCAGGGUAUAGACCCGAAACCCGGUGAUCUAGCCAUGGGCAGGUUGAAGGUUGGGUAACACUAACUGGAGGACCGAACCGACUAAUGUUGAAAAAUUAGCGGAUGACUUGUGGCUGGGGGUGAAAGGCCAAUCAAACCGGGAGAUAGCUGGUUCUCCCCGAAAGCUAUUUAGGUAGCGCCUCGUGAAUUCAUCUCCGGGGGUAGAGCACUGUUUCGGCAAGGGGGUCAUCCCGACUUACCAACCCGAUGCAAACUGCGAAUACCGGAGAAUGUUAUCACGGGAGACACACGGCGGGUGCUAACGUCCGUCGUGAAGAGGGAAACAACCCAGACCGCCAGCUAAGGUCCCAAAGUCAUGGUUAAGUGGGAAACGAUGUGGGAAGGCCCAGACAGCCAGGAUGUUGGCUUAGAAGCAGCCAUCAUUUAAAGAAAGCGUAAUAGCUCACUGGUCGAGUCGGCCUGCGCGGAAGAUGUAACGGGGCUAAACCAUGCACCGAAGCUGCGGCAGCGACGCUUAUGCGUUGUUGGGUAGGGGAGCGUUCUGUAAGCCUGCGAAGGUGUGCUGUGAGGCAUGCUGGAGGUAUCAGAAGUGCGAAUGCUGACAUAAGUAACGAUAAAGCGGGUGAAAAGCCCGCUCGCCGGAAGACCAAGGGUUCCUGUCCAACGUUAAUCGGGGCAGGGUGAGUCGACCCCUAAGGCGAGGCCGAAAGGCGUAGUCGAUGGGAAACAGGUUAAUAUUCCUGUACUUGGUGUUACUGCGAAGGGGGGACGGAGAAGGCUAUGUUGGCCGGGCGACGGUUGUCCCGGUUUAAGCGUGUAGGCUGGUUUUCCAGGCAAAUCCGGAAAAUCAAGGCUGAGGCGUGAUGACGAGGCACUACGGUGCUGAAGCAACAAAUGCCCUGCUUCCAGGAAAAGCCUCUAAGCAUCAGGUAACAUCAAAUCGUACCCCAAACCGACACAGGUGGUCAGGUAGAGAAUACCAAGGCGCUUGAGAGAACUCGGGUGAAGGAACUAGGCAAAAUGGUGCCGUAACUUCGGGAGAAGGCACGCUGAUAUGUAGGUGAAGUCCCUCGCGGAUGGAGCUGAAAUCAGUCGAAGAUACCAGCUGGCUGCAACUGUUUAUUAAAAACACAGCACUGUGCAAACACGAAAGUGGACGUAUACGGUGUGACGCCUGCCCGGUGCCGGAAGGUUAAUUGAUGGGGUUAGCCGCAAGGCGAAGCUCUUGAUCGAAGCCCCGGUAAACGGCGGCCGUAACUAUAACGGUCCUAAGGUAGCGAAAUUCCUUGUCGGGUAAGUUCCGACCUGCACGAAUGGCGUAAUGAUGGCCAGGCUGUCUCCACCCGAGACUCAGUGAAAUUGAACUCGCUGUGAAGAUGCAGUGUACCCGCGGCAAGACGGAAAGACCCCGUGAACCUUUACUAUAGCUUGACACUGAACAUUGAGCCUUGAUGUGUAGGAUAGGUGGGAGGCUUAGAAGUGUGGACGCCAGUCUGCAUGGAGCCGACCUUGAAAUACCACCCUUUAAUGUUUGAUGUUCUAACGUUGACCCGUAAUCCGGGUUGCGGACAGUGUCUGGUGGGUAGUUUGACUGGGGCGGUCUCCUCCUAAAGAGUAACGGAGGAGCACGAAGGUUGGCUAAUCCUGGUCGGACAUCAGGAGGUUAGUGCAAUGGCAUAAGCCAGCUUGACUGCGAGCGUGACGGCGCGAGCAGGUGCGAAAGCAGGUCAUAGUGAUCCGGUGGUUCUGAAUGGAAGGGCCAUCGCUCAACGGAUAAAAGGUACUCCGGGGAUAACAGGCUGAUACCGCCCAAGAGUUCAUAUCGACGGCGGUGUUUGGCACCUCGAUGUCGGCUCAUCACAUCCUGGGGCUGAAGUAGGUCCCAAGGGUAUGGCUGUUCGCCAUUUAAAGUGGUACGCGAGCUGGGUUUAGAACGUCGUGAGACAGUUCGGUCCCUAUCUGCCGUGGGCGCUGGAGAACUGAGGGGGGCUGCUCCUAGUACGAGAGGACCGGAGUGGACGCAUCACUGGUGUUCGGGUUGUCAUGCCAAUGGCACUGCCCGGUAGCUAAAUGCGGAAGAGAUAAGUGCUGAAAGCAUCUAAGCACGAAACUUGCCCCGAGAUGAGUUCUCCCUGACUCCUUGAGAGUCCUGAAGGAACGUUGAAGACGACGACGUUGAUAGGCCGGGUGUGUAAGCGCAGCGAUGCGUUGAGCUAACCGGUACUAAUGAACCGUGAGGCUUAACCUUACAACGCCGAAGGUGUUU